CCCGGGCAGGUCCUCAACUCACAGCAACCUCUGUGCCUCGAUCUUCGUUUUACCGGGGUUUCAAGUGGAAGGCUAUUAACCAAACAGUGCUUUAUCCUGAUUUCAUUACGGCACAUUGAAAUGAAUACAAAAUUUAAGCUGAAGACACAGAUUAACUCGUCAUCCUAAGGCCAUCAUUGCUGUUGGAUUCUCGGACAAAACCUGACAAGACACGUACCCUCCACGUGGGGGCAGAUAUCCUGGUGAGGCCACACCUGCAGCAAAGGUGGCCAUCCCCUGAGAGCCACCUGCCCCCUCAGGUAGAGAUUUCUUCAGAACACCUGCUGGACCAGUGCUGCAGUGACGUGGGGGACCACACACCGCCCAGGACUGCUUCAAACCCAGGACUACCACACCAGAGACAGCUCCACUCACAUUGGGCCAGGCCUUCCCCGACCAACCACUAAUCAAGAAAAUCUCCAGUACUCUUGCCUGCACCUGAGCUGAUGGAGGAUUUUUUUUUUCAAUAGAAGCUUCUUCCUCUUUAAUGAC
This is a long non-coding RNA of Rattus norvegicus (Norway rat), 531 nucleotides long. RefSeq lists it as uncharacterized. Lineage: Eukaryota; Metazoa; Chordata; Mammalia; Rodentia; Muridae. The record is from RefSeq and is a predicted model, not a curated record.